AGCAGAGGAAAAUUACAUUCAGCCCAAGCAGAGCAUCUCGGCACUUACUCCCCAGGUGAAGUGUCAGGCAGGUCCUGGGUCGGUGAGUGUGGGAUGACAGGGACAUUUAAGAAGCAUGGAUAAAAACUGGAGGAUGAAGUGGAUCUCGAAAAUAAGACUCAGACAGCACUGGCCUGAAUGUCCCACAGCAGCAUCUAAGAUCGACAAGCUUCUGGACGCCUGUCUGUCAUUGGCUCUGCACCACGGACCCGAGGACGUGCUGCAAUGCAAUCCAAGCCGAC
This is a long non-coding RNA of Stegostoma tigrinum, 281 nucleotides long. RefSeq lists it as uncharacterized. The transcript is spliced from 3 exons. The record is from RefSeq and is a predicted model, not a curated record. Lineage: Eukaryota; Metazoa; Chordata; Chondrichthyes; Orectolobiformes; Stegostomatidae.